RNAcentral lists this ribosomal RNA (776 nucleotides) under uncultured Neocallimastigales. Its description in RNAcentral is "partial large subunit ribosomal RNA". It matches the Rfam family "Eukaryotic large subunit ribosomal RNA", at positions 24 to 633 of the family's 3401-position model. Lineage: Eukaryota; Fungi; Neocallimastigomycota; Neocallimastigomycetes; Neocallimastigales. The record is from RNAcentral.
UUAUGUGAUCGUCUCUCGCAUAUCAAUAAGCGGAGGAAAAGAAACUAACAAGGAUUCCCCUAGUAACGGCGAGUGAAGCGGGAAGAGCUCAAAUUUGAAAUCUUAAAGGGUUUCCCUUUACGAAUUGUAGUUUAAAGAAGUGUUUUCUGUUGAGGUUUUGGUAAAAGUUCUUUGGAAUAGGACAUCAUAGAGGGUGAGAAUCCCGUAUUUGACCUUUACUUUCAACAUUUGUGAUACACUUUCAAAGAGUCGGAUUGUUUGGGAAUGCAGUCCAAAAUGGGUGGUAAAUUUCAUCUAAAGCUAAAUAUUGGCGAGAGACCGAUAGCGAGCAAGUACCGUGAGGGAAAGAUGAAAAGAACUUUGAAAAGAGAGUUAAACAGUACGUGAAAUUGUCAAAAGGGAAGCGUUUGACACCAGUGUUGUUUUUCUGAAAAUCAAUUAAAGAACUGUUUAUGCUAAGUUGUUUAGACUUUAUCAGCUAACUGUUUAGUUUUGAGCUUUUCUUUAAUGCACUUUUCAGUUAACAAGUCAACAUCAAUUUCUUUUGCUGUAAAAAAGCUUGAGGAAGGUGGCUUGAGAUUCGUCUUAAGUGUUUAUAGCCUCUUGCCUAUGCAGUCGGAGAGAUUGAGGUCUGCAGCGUAGAUCCUUCGGGGCUAAAUGCAUUUGUGCUAAGUUAUAGCAUUUUAUAGACAACUUGUUGACUAUGAUUUGUCUUGUAGCUUACUCGCUUAUGUUAUUUUACCUACGCUUAGGAUGUUGAAGACUCUACAGAGAUA